ACUAUUGUAGUUUAUGUAAAAUAUUGAUUUUGUAAAUCAAAAAAACUUUUAGUUAAUAGUA
Molecule: transfer RNA, 61 nt
Filed under: Ptilonyssus chloris
Lineage: Eukaryota; Metazoa; Arthropoda; Arachnida; Mesostigmata; Rhinonyssidae
Description: tRNA-Thr
Source: RNAcentral